UACAGAGGGUGCAAGCGUUGUUCGGAAUUAUUGGGCGUAAAGGGCGCGUAGGCGGUGCGGUAAGUCCGCAGUGAAAUCUCUGGGCUCAACUCAGAGUCUGCUGUGGAAACUGCCGUGCUUGAGUGUGGGAGAGGUGAGUGGAAUUCCCGGUGUAGCGGUGAAAUGCGUAGAUAUCGCUUGGAACGCCAACGGUGAAAACAGGUUGCUGGGGUUGUGCCGACGCUGAGACACGAAAGCCAGGGGAGCAAACGGG
RNAcentral lists this ribosomal RNA (253 nucleotides) under uncultured bacterium. Its description in RNAcentral is "partial 16S ribosomal RNA". It matches the Rfam family "Bacterial small subunit ribosomal RNA", at positions 524 to 776 of the family's 1533-position model. The record is from RNAcentral.